GAUGAACGCUGGCGGCGUGCCUAAUACAUGCAAGUCGAGCGAACAGACGAGGAGCUUGCUCCUCUGACGUUAGCGGCGGACGGGUGAGUAACACGUGGAUAACCUACCUAUAAGACUGGGAUAACUUCGGGAAACCGGAGCUAAUACCGGAUAAUAUAUUGAACCGCAUGGUUCAAUAGUGAAAGACGGUUUUGCUGUCACUUAUAGAUGGAUCCGCGCCGCAUUAGCUAGUUGGUAAGGUAACGGCUUACCAAGGCAACGAUGCGUAGCCGACCUGAGAGGGUGAUCGGCCCCACUGGAACUGGGAAACGGUCCAGACUCCUACGGGAGGCAGCCGUGGGGAAUAUUGGCCCAUGGGCGGAAGCCUGAUCCAGCCAUCCCGCGUGGGGGAAGAAGGCCUUCGGGUUCUAAAGCCCUUUUUUUGGGAAAAAAAAGAAUCUGGUUAAAACCCCGCUGUUCUUACGGUACCCAAAGAAUAAGCCCCGGCUAACUUCGUG
This 497-nucleotide ribosomal RNA is filed under the name uncultured bacterium. RNAcentral describes it as "partial 16S ribosomal RNA". It matches the Rfam family "Bacterial small subunit ribosomal RNA", at positions 28 to 507 of the family's 1533-position model. The record is from RNAcentral.